RNAcentral lists this transfer RNA (84 nucleotides) under Parocyusa longitarsis. RNAcentral's name for it is "tRNA-Pro". Lineage: Eukaryota; Metazoa; Arthropoda; Insecta; Coleoptera; Staphylinidae. The record is from RNAcentral.
CAAAGGAUAGUUUAUUAAAAUAUUAAUUUUGGAGAUUAAAGAUAAGAAUUAUCUUUCCUUUGAAAGUUUUAAAAGAAAUCUUAU